This 64-nucleotide transfer RNA is filed under the name Fukomys damarensis (Damara mole-rat). It matches the Rfam family "tRNA". Rfam says of the family: Transfer RNA (tRNA) molecules are approximately 80 nucleotides in length. Their secondary structure includes four short double-helical elements and three loops (D, anti-codon, and T loops). The record is from Rfam by way of RNAcentral. Lineage: Eukaryota; Metazoa; Chordata; Mammalia; Rodentia; Bathyergidae.
GGGGAUGUAGCUCAGUGGUAGAGUGUUUGCCUGGCAUGUGCAAGGCCCUAGGGUUCCAUCCCCA